This is a non-coding RNA of Postia placenta Mad-698-R, 84 nucleotides long. The record is from Rfam. NCBI's taxonomy places the organism in Eukaryota, Fungi, Basidiomycota, Agaricomycetes, Polyporales, Adustoporiaceae.
GGGCGCUUGGCACAGUGGUAGCGCGCACGCUUUGCAUCUUGUACUGUCUGCGUGAGGUCGAGGGUUCAAACCCCUCAGCGUCCA